This 231-nucleotide unclassified non-coding RNA is filed under the name uncultured fungus. RNAcentral's name for it is "sequence contains ITS1, 5.8S rRNA gene". The stretch from base 183 to 231 matches the Rfam family "5.8S ribosomal RNA", at positions 1 to 49 of the family's 154-position model. Lineage: Eukaryota; Fungi. The record is from RNAcentral.
UCUCCGUAGGUGAACCUGCGGAGGGAUCAUUACCGAGUACGGGUGCUCACGCGCCCCGACCUCCAACCCUUUGUUGUACCAAGUACGUUGCCUCGGGGGGCGACCCGGCCUUCGGGCGUCGGGGCCCCCGGUGGACCAUCAACGCUGCAUCUGUGCGUCUGAGUGAUUAAUCAAUCAAUUAAAACUUUCAACAACGGAUCUCUUGGUUCUGGCAUCGAUGAAGAACGCAGC